CGGUAACAUUUCUUGCUUGCUAGAAGAUGACGAGCGGCGGACGGGUGAACAAAGCUUGGGAAUAUGCCUUAUGGUGGGGGACAACAGUUGGAAUCGGCUGCUAAUACCGCAUAACGUCUACGGACCAAAGGGGGGGAUCUUCGGACCUCCCGCCAUUUGAUUAGCCCAAGUGAGAUUAGCUAGUUGGUGAGGUAAUGGCUCACCAAGGCGACGAUCUCUAGCUGGUUUGAGAGGAUGAUCAGCCACACUGGGACUGAGACACGGCCCAGACUCCUACGGGAGGCAGCAGUGGGGAAUAUUGCACAAUGGGCGAAAGCCUGAUGCAGCCAUGCCGCGUGUGUGAAGAAGGCCUUCGGGUUGUAAAGCACUUUCAUUAAGGAGGAAAUGGUAGUCGUUAAUAGCGGCUAUCUGUGACGUUACUUACAGAAGAAGCUCCGGCUAACUUCGUGCCAGCAGCCGCGGUAUUACGAGGUGUGCAAGCGUUAAUCGGUAUUACUGGGCGUAAAGCGUUCGUAGGCGGUUGAAUAAGCAAGAUGUGAAAGCCCAGGGCUCAACCUUGUAACUGCAUUUUUGAACUGUUUCGACUAGAGUACUGUAGAGGGGUGGUGGAAUUUUCCAGUGUAGCGGGUG
Molecule: ribosomal RNA, 630 nt
Filed under: uncultured Colwellia sp.
Lineage: Bacteria; Pseudomonadati; Pseudomonadota; Gammaproteobacteria; Alteromonadales; Colwelliaceae
Description: bacterial SSU rRNA
Rfam family: Bacterial small subunit ribosomal RNA
Source: RNAcentral